Molecule: ribosomal RNA, 206 nt
Filed under: uncultured bacterium
Lineage: Bacteria
Description: partial 16S ribosomal RNA
Rfam family: Bacterial small subunit ribosomal RNA
Source: RNAcentral
UGCGCAGGCGGUUCGUUAAGUUCGAUGUGAAAGCCCCGGGCUCAACCUGGGAAUGGCAUUGAAAACUGGCGGGCUUGAGUCUGGCAGAGGGGGGUGGAAUUCCGCGUGUAGCAGUGAAAUGCGUAGAGAUGCGGAGGAACACCGAUGGCGAAGGCAGCCCCCUGGGCCAAGACUGACGCUCAGGCACGAAAGCGUGGGAGCAAACA